GACGAACGCUGGCGGCGUGCUUAACACAUGCAAGUCGAACGGAAAGGCCCUGCUUUUGUGGGGUGCUCGAGUGGCGAACGGGUGAGUAACACGUGAGUAACCUGCCCUUGACUUUGGGAUAACUUCAGGAAACUGGGGCUAAUACCGGAUAGGAGCUCCUGCUGCAUGGUGGGGGUUGGAAAGUUUCGGCGGUUGGGGAUGGACUCGCGGCUUAUCAGCUUGUUGGUGGGGUAGUGGCUUACCAAGGCUUUGACGGGUAGCCGGCCUGAGAGGGUGACCGGACACAUUGGGACUGAGAUACGGCCCAGACUCCUACGGGAGGCAGCAGUGGGGAAUAUUGCACAAUGGGCGGAAGCCUGAGGCAGCAACGCCGCGUGCGGGAUGACGGCCUUCGGGUUGUAAACCGCUUUCGCCUGUGACGAAGCGUGAGUGACGGUAAUGGGUAAAGAAGCACCGGCUAACUACGUG
Molecule: ribosomal RNA, 468 nt
Filed under: uncultured bacterium
Lineage: Bacteria
Description: partial 16S ribosomal RNA
Rfam family: Bacterial small subunit ribosomal RNA
Source: RNAcentral